GAUGAACGCUGGCGGCGUGCCUAAUACAUGCAAGUCGAGCGAACAGACGAGGAGCUUGCUCCUCUGACGUUAGCGGCGGACGGGUGAGUAACACGUGGAUAACCUACCUAUAAGACUGGGAUAACUUCGGGAAACCGGAGCUAAUACCGGAUAAUAUAUUGAACCGCAUGGUUCAAUAGUGAAAGACGGUUUUGCUGUCACUUAUAGAUGGAUCCGCGCCGCAUUAGCUAGUUGGUAAGGUAACGGCUUACCAAGGCAACGAUGCGUAGCCGACCUGAGAGGGUGAUCGGCCACACUGGAACUGAGACACGGUCCAGACUCCUACGGGAGGCAGCAGUAGGGAAUCUUCCGCAAUGGGCGAAAGUCUGACGGAGCAACGCCGCGUGAGUGAUGAAGGUCUUCGGAUCGUAAAACUCUGUUAUUAGGGAAGAACAAAUGUGUAAGUAACUAUGCACGUCUUGACGGUACCUAAUCAGAAAGCCACGGCUAACCACGUG
This 497-nucleotide ribosomal RNA is filed under the name uncultured bacterium. Its description in RNAcentral is "partial 16S ribosomal RNA". It matches the Rfam family "Bacterial small subunit ribosomal RNA", at positions 28 to 507 of the family's 1533-position model. The record is from RNAcentral.